GGAGGGUGCAAGCGUUGUUCGGAAUUACUGGGCGUAAAGCGCGUGUAGGCGGCCUUUUAAGUCUGAUGUGAAAGCCCGAGGCUCACCCUCGGAAGUGCAUUGGAUACUGGGAGGCUGGAGUACCGGAGAGGAGGGUGGAAUUCCUGGUGUAGCGGUGAAAUGCGUAGAUAUCAGGAGGAACACCAGUGGCGAAGGCGGCCCUCUGGACGGAUACUGACGCUGAGACGCGACAGCGUGGGGAGCAAACAGGAUUAGAUACCCUGGUAGUCCACGCCGUAAACGAUGGGCACUAGGUGUUCGGGGUUUUGACCCCCCCUGAGUGCCGCAGCUAACGCAUUAAGUGCCCCCGCCUGGGGACUACGGCCGCAAGGCUA
Molecule: ribosomal RNA, 374 nt
Filed under: uncultured organism
Description: partial 16S ribosomal RNA
Rfam family: Bacterial small subunit ribosomal RNA
Source: RNAcentral